GAUGAACGCUGGCGGCGUGCCUAAUACAUGCAAGUCGAGCGAACAGACGAGGAGCUUGCUCCUCUGACGUUAGCGGCGGACGGGUGAGUAACACGUGGAUAACCUACCUAUAAGACUGGGAUAACUUCGGGAAACCGGAGCUAAUACCGGAUAAUAUAUUGAACCGCAUGGUUCAAUAGUGAAAGACGGUUUUGCUGUCACUUAUAGAUGGAUCCGCGCCGCAUUAGCUAGUUGGUAAGGUAACGGCUUACCAAGGCUACGAUGCGUAGCCGACCUGAGAGGGUGAUCGGCCACACUGGAACUGAGACACGGUCCAGACUCCUACGGGAGGCAGCAGUAGGGAAUCUUCCGCAAUGGGCGAAAGCCUGACGGAGCAACGCCGCGUGAGUGAUGAAGGUCUUCGGAUCGUAAAACUCUGUCAUUAGGGAAGAACAAAUGUGUAAGUAACUAUGCACGUCUUGACGGUACCUAAUCAGAAAGCCACGGCUAACUACGUG
This 497-nucleotide ribosomal RNA is filed under the name uncultured bacterium. RNAcentral's name for it is "partial 16S ribosomal RNA". It matches the Rfam family "Bacterial small subunit ribosomal RNA", at positions 28 to 507 of the family's 1533-position model. The record is from RNAcentral.